This 464-nucleotide ribosomal RNA is filed under the name uncultured soil bacterium. RNAcentral describes it as "bacterial SSU rRNA". It matches the Rfam family "Bacterial small subunit ribosomal RNA", at positions 26 to 486 of the family's 1533-position model. The record is from RNAcentral.
AGAUUGAACGCUAGCGGGAUGCUUUACACAUGCAAGUCGAACGGCAGCGCAAGACCUUCGGGUCUGGCGGCGAGUGGCGAACGGGUGAGUAAUGUAUCGGAACGUGCCUAGUAGCGGGGGAUAACUACGCGAAAGCGUGGCUAAUACCGCAUACGCCCUACGGGGGAAAGGGGGGGAUCGCAAGACCUCUCACUAUUAGAGCGGCCGAUAUCAGAUUAGCUAGUUGGUGGGGUAAAGGCCCACCAAGGCCACGAUCUGUAGCUGGUUUGAGAGGACGACCAGCCACACUGGGACUGAGACACGGCCCAGACUCCUACGGGAGCAGCAGUGGGGAAUUUGGACAAGUGGGGAAACCUGAUCCAGCCAUCCCGCGUGUGCGAUGAAGGCCUUCGGGUUGUAAGCACUUUGGACGUAGGAAGAACUGCGCGCCUUAAGUACGGACGUCACUGACGGUACCUGCAGAA